This is an unclassified non-coding RNA of Serinus canaria (Common canary), 178 nucleotides long. NCBI's taxonomy places the organism in Eukaryota, Metazoa, Chordata, Aves, Passeriformes, Fringillidae. The record is from Ensembl.
AGCAAUGUCUGGGAAAUUUAGUCACAAAGUCUUUGGCUUACUCACCAGAUACAGCCCCAGCACUGACACUGCAAAUUCCUUUACAGGGUCCUGUUAAUGCACUUCAAUCCUGACCUGAAAGAACCUCUAUGGCUGACAGGAUAGUUUAAUUUUCAUGCCCAUUCAAUCUUUGGCCUCU